Molecule: unclassified non-coding RNA, 207 nt
Filed under: Hevea brasiliensis (rubber tree)
Lineage: Eukaryota; Viridiplantae; Streptophyta; Magnoliopsida; Malpighiales; Euphorbiaceae
Source: RNAcentral
GAAAUGCUUGAAAUAGGUCAAAAUUGUAGGAACUUGUCAACGAGGAGAAUCAGUAAAUAAUUUGACUAUCAAAUAAAAUAACUCAAUAAUCCCAACUCUAGCUAGAGGAUACUAAUUAUACUUUACGGGUGAGGAAAAGAAAUUGAAAUUUUAUCACGGAAGAAAAAUUUACGAAGAAUGAGUCUGUCAAGACUCAAUAGGAUAAAG